Molecule: small RNA, 31 nt
Filed under: Bombyx mori (domestic silkworm)
Lineage: Eukaryota; Metazoa; Arthropoda; Insecta; Lepidoptera; Bombycidae
Description: ovarian small RNA-5327
Source: RNAcentral
GCCGCCGUGAUGAGCAGCCGCAUGGCCGCGC